AUAGGGAAGCAAAAUAAAACAAGGAAAUGUUUUUUUUUGUUUUCAUGCAACCAUGAAGCGAAUGCUUAGUCUCAGAGAUCAGAGGCUUAAAGAAAAGGAUAGAUUAAAACCUAAAAAGAAAGAAAAGAAGGAUCCCAGCACAUUAAAGGAAAGAGAAGUUCCCCAACACCCUUCCUGCUUAUUUUUCCAAUAUAAUACACAGCUCGGCCCACCUUACCACAUCCUCGUUGAUACCAACUUUAUCAACUUUUCCAUAAAAGCCAAACUGGACUUAGUGCAGUCAGUGAUGGACUGUCUGUAUGCCAAGUGUAUCCCUUGUAUAACUGAUUGUGUAAUGGCUGAAAUUGAGAUAUUGGGGCAGAAGUAUCAAGUGGCUCUAAGGAUCACCAAGGAUCCAAGAUUUGAACUAUUACCAUGUACACACCAAGGAACCUAUGCAGAUGACUGCUUAGUACAGAAAUAACUCAGCGUAAGUGUUACAUUAUGGCCACAGUUGACUGGGACCUUAAAAGAAAAAUCUGUAAGAUUCCUGGAGUCCCUAUAAUGUACAUUUCUAACCAUAGAUACAACACUGAAUGGAUGUCAGAUGAUUAUGGGGCCCCUUGA
Nomascus leucogenys (northern white-cheeked gibbon) is the source of this 606-nucleotide RNA transcript. It is a transcript of the gene named rRNA-processing protein FCF1 homolog pseudogene, with no coding region annotated. The transcript has a single exon. Lineage: Eukaryota; Metazoa; Chordata; Mammalia; Primates; Hylobatidae. The record is from RefSeq and is a predicted model, not a curated record.